GCUGGCGGCGUGCCUAACACAUGCAAGUCGAGCGAUGAAGCUCCUUCGGGAGUGGAUUAGCGGCGGACGGGUGAGUAACACGUGGGUAACCUGCCUCAAAGUGGGGGAUAGCCCUCCGAAAGGAGGAUUAAUACCGCAUAACAUUCAGACCUCGCAUGAGGAAUGAAUCAAAGGAGUAAUCCGCUUUGAGAUGGGCCCGCGGUGCAUUAGCUAGUUGGUAAGGUAAAAGCUUACCAAGGCGACGAUGCAUAGCCGACCUGAGAGGGUGAUCGGCCACAUUGGAACUGAGAUACGGUCCAGACUCCUACGGGAGGCAGCAGUGGGGAAUAUUGCGCAAUGGGGGAAACCCUGACGCAGCAACGCCGCGUGGGUGAUGAAGGUCUUCGGAUUGUAAAACCCUGUCUUCUGGGACGAUAAUGACGGUACCAGAGGAGGAAGCCACGGCUAACUACGUGCCAGCAGCCGCGGUAAUACGUAGGUGGCGAGCGUUGUCCGGAUUUACUGGGCGUAAAGGGUGCGUAGGCGGACUCUUAAGUGGGAUGUGAAAUACCCGGGCUUAACCCGGGGGCUGCAUUCCAAACUGGGAGUCUAGAGUGCAGGAGAGGAGAAUGGAAUUCCUAGUGUAGCGGUGAAAUGCGUAGAGAUUAGGAAGAACACCAGUGGCGAAGGCGAUUCUCUGGACUGUAACUGACGCUGGGGCACGAAAGCGUGGGUAGCAAACAGGAUUAGAUACCCUGGUAGUCCACGCCGUAAACUAUGAAUACUAGGUGUAGGAGGUAU
This 780-nucleotide ribosomal RNA is filed under the name uncultured Clostridium sp. RNAcentral's name for it is "bacterial SSU rRNA". It matches the Rfam family "Bacterial small subunit ribosomal RNA", at positions 35 to 832 of the family's 1533-position model. The record is from RNAcentral. Lineage: Bacteria; Bacillati; Bacillota; Clostridia; Eubacteriales; Clostridiaceae.